AUUGAACGCUGGCGGCAGGCCUAACACAUGCAAGUCGAGCGGAUGAAGGGAGCUUGCUCCUGGAUUCAGCGGCGGACGGGUGAGUAAUGCCUAGGAAUCUGCCUGGUAGUGGGGGAUAACGUCCGGAAACGGGCGCUAAUACCGCAUACGUCCUGAGGGAGAAAGUGGGGGAUCUUCGGACCUCACGCUAUCAGAUGAGCCUAGGUCGGAUUAGCUAGUUGGUGGGGUAAAGGCCUACCAAGGCGACGAUCCGUAACUGGUCUGAGAGGAUGAUCAGUCACACUGGAACUGAGACACGGUCCAGACUCCUACGGGAGGCAGCAGUGGGGAAUAUUGGACAAUAGGCGAAAGCCUGAUCCAGCCAUGCCGCGUGUGUGAAGAAGGUCUUCGGAUUGUAAAGCACUUUAAGUUGGGAGGAAGGGCAGUAAGUUAAUACCUUGCUGUUUUGACGUUACCAACAGAAUAAGCACCGGCUAACUUCGUGC
RNAcentral lists this ribosomal RNA (485 nucleotides) under uncultured bacterium. Its description in RNAcentral is "partial 16S ribosomal RNA". It matches the Rfam family "Bacterial small subunit ribosomal RNA", at positions 30 to 508 of the family's 1533-position model. The record is from RNAcentral.